Non-coding RNA from Nerophis lumbriciformis (worm pipefish), 1326 nucleotides. The record is from RefSeq and is a predicted model, not a curated record. NCBI's taxonomy places the organism in Eukaryota, Metazoa, Chordata, Actinopteri, Syngnathiformes, Syngnathidae.
AGCUCUUACUGCUCUUGGUGGGCAGAAUUUGGCAGACACAGUGAGGACAAUGCUGAGGAAAAUUGCCACAAACAAAGUCCUGGAGCAGCUUGGUCUCCGUGGAAAGACAGGCAAAGUGGCAUUUGAGGACUUGCCCUUUUACAGAAUAAUAAUAAAGGCAUGCAGGGGUGUUCACAAACAGACGACCACAGCUGAAGUAGAUUGUGAGCUUGGAGAGGUCCUGAAACUGGCCACUUUUUGAAAGGGAGGUUCAAAGUUUGAGGAGAAGAGGAGGAAUUAAGAGGAAGCGACGGCGAAGAAGGGCAAAGGGAGGUGUACAAAGGAAAUGGACAGUGAGAUGAGUGACCAGGUAAAUGAUAAAGUAAUUAUGCCAAUGUUUUAAAUCAAUUCAUGAAGAUCCCAGUUCUGUGUUGAAUUUGCAAUUAUAAACACUCGAUUGUAUUGUACAUAUGUCCCGGCAAGAAAUCUGCGUUCAAAGAACUCCGGCUUAUUAUUGAUACCCAGAGCCCAAAAAAAGUCUGCGGGCUAUAGAGCGUUUUCUAUUCAGGCUCCAGUACUAUGGAAUGCCCUCCCGGUAACAAUUAGAGAUGCUACCUCAGUAGAAGCAUUUAAGUCCCAUCUUAAAACUCAUUUGUAUACUCUAGCCUUUAAAUAGACCCCCCUUUUAGACCAGUUGAUCUGCCGUUUCUUUUUUCUCCUCUGCUCCCCUCUUCCUUGUGGAGGGGGGGGGGGGCACAGGUCCGGUGGCCAUGGAUGAAGUGCUGGCUGUCCAGAGUCGGGACCCGUGGUGGACCGCUCGCCUGUGCAUCGGCUGGGAACAUCUCUGCGCUGCUGACCCGUCUCCGCUCGGGAUGGUGUCCUGCUGGCCCCACUAUGGACUGGACUCUUACUAUAAUGUCAGACCCACUCGACAUCCAUUGCAUUCGGUCUCCCCUAGAGGGGGGGGGUUACCCACAUAUGCGGUCCUCUCCAAGGUUUCUCAUAGUCAUUCACAUUGACGUCCCACUGGGGAAGCGAUGGCGAAGAAGGGCAAAGGGAGGUGUACAAAGGAAUAGGACAGUGAUAUGAGUGACCAGGAAGCGACGGCGAAGAAGGGCAAAGGGAGGUGUACAAAGGGAAUGGACAGUGAGAUGAGUGACCAGGAAGUGAAGAAGAAGAAAACAGGGAAAGGGAAAAGAACCAAGCAAACGCCAGUGAGACCAGUGAGCAUUGAGCAGGAAGAGAACCAACAAGAAGGGGCAGGAGUACACUGACGCGCACGACCAAGACCACAGCAUUCCAUUUCUAUUGUAUUAUAAUUAUCACUAAUAAAGAAUUAUUGUUGAA